AUAUAAAAUUACAGAAUUUGUAGCUGGCAGCUGAUAACCAGCAAUUUGUCAUGUGAUAGUAUAAUUUAAAUGUUUGUAAUUGUAUAGCUCUCUAGAAAAAUACAGUUUUGUAGAAACACUGGAGGUUCCAUCUGAAUGUAAGAAAAAGCUUUUUUUACUGACCUAGUGGCCAAGUGCCCUAGCACUGCCACAGGUUGCCCAGGAAGGCUGUGGAGUCUCCUCCAUUCUUGGAGAUAGUCAAAAGCCAUCUGGAUGUGGUCCUGGGCAGCCUCCUGUAGGUGGCCCAGCUUGAGUAGGGGCAGUUGGACAUGAUGACCUCAGAGUUCCCUUUGAACCUCAAUCAUUCUGUGAUUCUGUGAAAAAUUAACUGGCUUCAGGCAUUAUCGUGUCAUCUUGCAUACCUUUAGAAAUAUAUGCAUAUGUAUACUCACGUAACUUUAAAAUCUCUUUACCUUAGGUUUUUGGCUUACCUGGUUUACAUAUAGUAUGUUACAGUGUGCGUAAAGUUUGAGUAAUGAGAUAUUACUGAUUUUGAUUCAAACUUAUUUUAAAAUUUUGAAGAGGAAGAUCUGAAGUCAGUCUUUUCAAUAUAGUUACUUCCAAGUAUAAGAAUUUGAAGUUGAAUUAUUGGAUGUCAACUUCAGCAAAGAAAGGUUUGUAGAAAGGCUUAAUUGUCUGGAAAUUAAAAUGUUCUCUUGUCAGCAUGACACAAAAAGAGAUAAAACAUGGAUGCAAAAUUUCCAUCACUACCACAGUGCUGUAAGGAGGCCUAUUGGUAACUAUGGUUUAAGCCCUGAGUUUUCUUUCAGGUAAUUGUAGGCAUAGGUUAAGUAAUGAUCAAGAGCAAAAAUCCUUUCCAGCCAAAAAUACCCAGGUUUUUCUUGCUAUGAGCUCCCUUUGUUCUUGAGAAGAAAUAUUUGACCAACAAAAUAAUUUAGUUGUGUGGCCAGCUCAGAGGUAUUGUCUGGGUAGUUACAAGUUGCAUCUUGUAUGUUUUCUUUUGUUCUUCCACUUACUCAACAGUUGUAGCUAUGUCAGGAGGGAUUUUUUUUUCAUUUUCAGCUGAAGAGUUGCACCCAGCUUGUGUUGUGCGAUUUUAUGCUCCUCAAUUACAAGUUUGAAACUAAUUCAUGUAUGGGAAAGCUAACCUUUCUCUUGCUAAAUCUAAAGCUAACCUUUUUGUUGAACAAAAUCAGAGUUCCUUAUUUUCCUUCUUCCCCACUGUUUCUCCUUUUAUCCUACUUUAAUUACCAUCACAGCUUCUUUUCCCAGUGUCAAUAAGUUGAUGUCUGCUGCUUGCACAUGAAUCAAAUUUGUGACCUUUCCAGACCCUUUCUAGACAUCUUGAUUCCUGCUGCUUUGUUAACAGAGAUUAAGUGGCUCCAAAAAUCUUUUUUGGAGUCUGGGAAGUUUCUGUGUUUGUGCUAGGCCUUGCAGAAGGAGUCACCAAAAAAAUUAAUAAACUUAGCCUGUAAGUCAGAACAGAUUCUGGAAUUCCCUUUUACCAGGAGUAAGCAGAAUCUAACUUCAUCAUGCAGUAGGACAUAAUGAAUGAACAAAUAGUAUAGUACAGUUAUUUGUGACAGCAGGAUUCUCAAGUUCCUUCUAGUCCUUUCCAGAUCUCCUUUCUGUAUGCAUAGUGCUCUGUAAGGAUGUCUAAUUUCAUCUUUGCUUCAACCAUUUAUCCAUUCAAGAAAGUAUUAAUUGUCUGGUAUAAAUUUACAGUGGUUCUCUAGUUUAUGGCAGUGAUGAGACUAGAAAAAAAACAAACCUGAGGUACUGAAGAGUGCUCAAAAAAGCUCUGAUAUUUUAUUUUCUUUUAAGUUCCUUAGUGCAACCGGAAAACUAACUGCUUCCCUUGCUUGGGUUACAUGAUUUUGUAGGCAUUUUCACAGCUUCAAAAUUAUAAAUCUAUGAGAAGUACAAAGGGCCAACAACCAUCUCAGCAGUCUAGACUCCAGUUUGGUUUGCAAUUAAGGUCUUCCAAGGAGGCUUGAGGAGCCUGAUUACUACAUAAGUUCAGAAAGACUGGGUUAACCAGCCCUCCUGUAUCUAGCAUGUCUCAAGAGGAUGUGGGUACACUCUGGGCUUUUUUAAAUAACCAUUUGUGUGCAUCUGAAGCUAACUGGCUUUUUGGCUUGAGAACAUUUGUCUAAAUUUAUUACUGUACUUAAGUAUACCUAUAAAAGAGGGGGUUUUCUAAUCAUCAAAACAAUUAUAAUAUGUUGAUUAUGAAGUAAACCUUAAUCAGUAAAGAUGAUGACUAUAUCAUAUUCAGGAAGGGGUACAAAUGUCAUGCAAAUAGUGAUAAUAUUUAUUUUCAUGAGCAUUAAACAAAAUCAAUAAAAAAUACCUAGAAUUAGAACAGUUUAGGAGAAACAUUCUUCCUGGACAUCCCACACAUCCAUGCAUGGGAAAAAUAGUUUUAACUUGAACAGAGUCUAUGGAAUUGGCUGAUAGUAUAGAUCAGUAUUUGUAAAGAAUGUUUUAAAUAAAACUUCAGUGCUUUCUUUUAUUGACUUAUGAUGAAAAUUAAAGUUACUGUUUAACUUACUGGUAUCUAACAUAAAGUUUGUGUUCUGAGGUAUCUCCGAUAUUUUUGCAAAAAUAAUGGUUGUGAAAAUAGCAAUGUAGACCACAGUGUAAUAGUAACACAUUCUGUUUUGCAUUACAUAAACUUGACUGUUAUAUGUGCAGUGCAAACACACAUCUUUGAGUAUCUCCUAUUUAUAAGACUGUAGGAGAAUCUGGUUCAGUUUCCUCCCUCUUACCUUCUAUAUUAGAGCAGUUCUAGAAUUAUAGCAUAUUUUGCAGCAGGAAUUUUUUGAUAGCUCCUGCAGUUCUUCAAAAGUGAAUUAUAGUUAUAUACCUAGCCUCAUGAUUAAAAAAACUUAAAACCCCCCAAACCAACCCCCCAAAACUCCACUGAUCCACCCCAAACAACAAAAAACCCCACAAAAAAAUGCCCACUGAAGUACAGACCUUUUUCCUCCAAGUAAAUGCUCUUGCCAUUUAGCUGUUGAGUUGUGGGUAAGUAUACAAUCUUAAUGUUCUCUGUAACAAUGCUGAAUCUCUUAUCAACAAAUUUUAUAUGGGCUCUGAUCUAGUAAGUGUAUCCUAAGAAUGCUUAUCCUAUUGAGUUCUUGAGGUAGAUAAAGGGACUUGUGGGUUUUGUUGGGAUUGGCGCCAAACUUUUAAGGUCUGAACAUGCCUAGGACAGUGCACUUGGGGAUCAGGAAAUUUUAUUGGCAAAAAAUGUUUGUGGAUCUCACGAUUUAAUUGCCCAUUAGAUUUGGUGAGGUUGACUGGAGUAAUGCAAUGUAAGUGUGUAACUCCUUUAGGAAGAGCUGGCAAGAGAGGGAGUGCCUUACAUACAUUGGUUCUGAGGUCAAUAGCGUAGGAGAUAACCUGCUAUAAAUCUAGGUGGUGAUAAGAGGGAGACAAAAUUCAGAGGGAUCUGCAUUGUGCCUUAAAAUCAGGAGAAUCAAAUGGGAAAAACAUUAAAGAGCAUGUAGAGUGUUCCACGUACACAGCAAAGGACUUCCUUGAAAAAGAGAGAGUAGGGAUUAUCUGAGAAAGAAUUGGUCCAGAUAGUUCUUGAUAUGUGCUGAUCACAGCAGAUGAUGAAAACAGCUACAAAGACUCUGGGCUCUAACUUGCUAAUUAUGAGACAUUAAUUUGCUGAGAUUUUGAAGGGUGAAAGUAUCUUGUAUGAGAGGGACCUUAGAAAGUAGAGCUCACAAUGAUAGUAUAAAAAUCAUGAGGACAAAAACAAUGUUUAAGCCAAUAAAAUAAAGAUUUGGUACACCUGAACGUCCUAUAAGUAAAUCAGAAAUACAAAGAUGACUGAAGGAUAUUUGAGAGACAGGGCUAACAAGCUAUGAAAAGAUAAUGUUGAAAAGGUAUUGUUUAGUGCAUUUUUUGUCAUUGUUUGAAUUGGUGAAAAGACAACUAAGCAAAGGAGUAGUACAGAUAAAUUACACUGCUUCAGCUAGUUGUAGGAGUAUUUGGCUAAUUAUCAUGAGAAGCAGCAACUAAUUUGAAAAAGUCUAGAAUGCUUGUUUGAGAACACGCAGAAGGUAGAAAAUACAUACAAGGAAACACGUUUCCAUCCUUUUAGAGGAAAAUGGAACUUGGGGUAUUACCAAUGACACUUAAAUUCCUGAAAGAUGUUUUAAACUGUAAAUGGCGUAGAUGCACAAAAACCAGAGAAUGUUUGUAAGUGUUGGUUUGGCAAAAAGAUUGCACUCUCAAAAUAAGUCAGUGGCUUACUAGAGGACAAGGGAGAUGAUUAAUUUUUCUGAUCUGGGGCAUAAAAUAUGUGAUUGAAAAUCCCUGGUGAUACCAAACUGGGAAAGUCUGCAGUUACACUGGAAGACAGGAUUAGAAUCAAAAGGUUGUUAAAUUGGAGAAAUGGUCUGAAAAAUAAAAUGCAAUUCAGGAGGGACAAAUAGAAACUUCUAAAGAGAAUAAUCCUCUUUACCAACAGUGUGAGCAGUGACAGGCAAGGAAAUUAUGUGAAACAGAAAAGCAUCUUCAAGUAGGUCAUAAGUUGAGCAUAAAUCAAGAAUGACACAUUGCAAAAGACAGGAACAUUGUGAUACAUAAAUAGGAAUGCCCUUCUGUAAGAGGGGAAAUAAUUGCUUUUCUGUAGCUGGAAAGCCUUUUGCAGGGGUACUGGCUCAGUUUUCUCAGUAUCAAGAAAGAUCACAACUUUUGAAAACAGAGUGAAUGAACUGGGGUUGUUUUAUCUC
Molecule: long non-coding RNA, 4754 nt
Organism: Athene cunicularia (burrowing owl)
Lineage: Eukaryota; Metazoa; Chordata; Aves; Strigiformes; Strigidae
Exons: 2
Source: RefSeq, a predicted model, not a curated record